CAGUCGCCGCGGUAAUACGAAGGGUGCAAGCGUUGUCCGGAAUUAUUGGGCGUAAAGCGAGCGCAGGCGGUUAGAUAAGUCUGAAGUUAAAGGCUGUGGCUUAACCAUAGUACGCUUUGGAAACUGUUUAACUUGAGUGCAAGAGGGGAGAGUGGAAUUCCAUGUGUAGCGGUGAAAUGCGUAGAUAUAUGGAGGAACACCGGUGGCGAAAGCGGCUCUCUGGCUUGUAACUGACGCUGAGGCUCGAAAGCGUGGGGAGCAAACAGGAUUAGAUACCCCAGUAGUCCCUGUCUCUUAUACA
Molecule: ribosomal RNA, 301 nt
Filed under: uncultured bacterium
Lineage: Bacteria
Description: partial 16S ribosomal RNA
Rfam family: Bacterial small subunit ribosomal RNA
Source: RNAcentral